AGAGUUUGAUCAUGGCUCAGAUUGAACGCUGGCGGCAGGCCUAACACAUGCAAGUCGAGCGCGAAAGGCUUUCGGGCUGAGUAGAGCGGCGGGCGGGUGAGUAACGCGUAGGAAUCUACCUGGUAGUGGGGGACAACUUGGGGGAACUCAAGCUAAUACCGCAUACGCCCUAUGGGGGAAAGCGGGGGACCUUCGGGCCUCGCGCUAUCAGAUGAGCCUGCGUAGGAUUAGCUUGUUGGUGAGGUAAAGGCUCACCAAGGCGACGAUCCUUAGCUGGUCUGAGAGGAUGAUCAGCCACACUGGGACUGAGACACGGCCCAGACUCCUACGGGAGGCAGCAGUGGGGAAUAUUGCGCAAUGGGGGCAACCCUGACGCAGCCAUGCCGCGUGUGUGAAGAAGGCCUUCGGGUUGUAAGCACUUUCAAUGGGGAAGAAAAGCGGGUCGUUAAUAGCGGUCCGCCCUGACAUUACCUUUAGAAGAAGCACCGGCUAACUCCGUGCCAGCAGCCGCGGUAAUACGGAGGGUGCGAGCGUUAAUCGGAAUUACUGGGCGUAAAGCGCGCGUAGGUGGUUUGUUAAGUCAGCUGUGAAAGCCCCGGGCUCAACCUGGGAACUGCAGUUGAUACUGGCCGACUAGAGUACGAGAGAGGGAGGUAGAAUUCCAUGUGUAGCGGUGAAAUGCGUAGAUAUAUGGAGGAAUACCGGUGGCGAAGGCGGCCUCCUGGCUCGAUACUGACGCUGAGGUGCGAAAGCGUGGGGAUCAAACAGGAUUAGAUACCCUGGUAGUCCACGCCGUAAACGAUGUCUACUAGCCGUUGGGAGACUUGAUUUCUUAGUGGCGCAGCUAACGCAAUAAGUAGACCGCCUGGGGAGUACGGCCGCAAGGUUAAAACUCAAAUGAAUUGACGGGGGCCCGCACAAGCGGUGGAGCAUGUGGUUUAAUUCGAUGCAACGCGAAGAACCUUACCAGGUCUUGACAUCCUCGGAACUUUCCAGAGAUGGAUUGGUGCCUUCGGGAACCGAGAGACAGGUGCUGCAUGGCUGUCGUCAGCUCGUGUCGUGAGAUGUUGGGUUAAGUCCCGUAACGAGCGCAACCCUUGUCCUUAGUUGCCAGCACGUAAUGGUGGGAACUCUAAGGAGACUGCCGGUGACAAACCGGAGGAAGGUGGGGACGACGUCAAGCCAUCAUGGCCCUUACGACCUGGGCUACACACGUGCUACAAUGGAACGCACAGAGGGCAGCAAAAGCGCAAGCUGGAGCCAAUCCCACAAAACGUUCCGUAGUCCGGAUCGGAGUCUGCAACUCGACUCCGUGAAGUCGGAAUCGCUAGUAAUCGUGGAUCAGAAUGCCACGGUGAAUACGUUCCCGGGCCUUGUACACACCGCCCGUCACACCAUGGGAGUGGGUUGCUCCAGAAGUGGUUAGCCUAACCUUCGGGGGGGCGAUCACCACGGAGUGAUUCAUGACUGGGGUGAAGUCGGAACAAGGUA
RNAcentral lists this ribosomal RNA (1491 nucleotides) under metagenome. RNAcentral's name for it is "bacterial SSU rRNA". It matches the Rfam family "Bacterial small subunit ribosomal RNA". The record is from RNAcentral.